This 1093-nucleotide ribosomal RNA is filed under the name uncultured organism. Its description in RNAcentral is "bacterial SSU rRNA". It matches the Rfam family "Bacterial small subunit ribosomal RNA", at positions 19 to 1116 of the family's 1533-position model. The record is from RNAcentral.
CUGGCUCAGGAUGAACGCUAGCGGCAGGCCUAACACAUGCAAGUCGAGGGGUAACGAUGGAGCUUGCUCCAGGCGACGACCGGCGCACGGGUGAGUAACGCGUUUGCAACCUACCUCUAACUGGAAGAUAGCCCGAAGAAAUUCGGAUUAAUAUUCCAUAACACUAUGAUUUGGCAUCUUUUUAUAGUUAAAGUUUCGACGGUUAGAGAUGGGCAUGCGUGGCAUUAGCUAGUUGGUGAGGUAACGGCUCACCAAGGCCACGAUGUCUAGGGGGUCUGAGAGGAUGGUCCCCCACACUGGUACUGAGACACGGACCAGACUCCUACGGGAGGCAGCAGUGAGGAAUAUUGGUCAAUGGGCGAAAGCCUGAACCAGCCAUGCCGCGUGAAGGAUGACGGCCCUACGGGUUGUAAACUUCUUUUGUUUGAGAAGAAACCUCCCUACGUGUAGGGGGCUGACGGUAUCGAACGAAUAAGCAUCGGCUAACUCCGUGCCAGCAGCCGCGGUAAUACGGAGGAUGCAAGCGUUAUCCGGAUUCAUUGGGUUUAAAGGGUACGCAGGCGGAAAACUAAGUCAGUGGUGAAAUCCUGCAGCUUAACUGUAGAACUGUCAUUGAUACUGGUUUUCUUGGAUUCAGUUGAGGUAGGCGGAAUGUGUAAUGUAGCGGUGAAAUGCUUAGAUAUUACACAGAACACCGAUUGCGAAGGCAGCUUACUAAACUGCGAUUGACGCUGAGGUACGAAAGCGUGGGUAGCAAACAGGAUUAGAUACCCUGGUAGUCCACGGCCGUAAACUAUGAUCACUCGUUGUUGGCAACACAUCGUCAGCGACUAAGCGAAAGCCUUACGUGAUCCACCUGGGGAAGUACGGCCGCAAGGUUGAAACUCAAAGGACUUGACGGGGGCCCGACAAGCGGAGGACCCAUGUGGGUUAAUCGAUGAUACCGAGAACUUUACUGGGCUUAAUGUAGAGCGAGGACCCGGGAAAACUGGGCUCCUACGGACGAUCUACAAGGUGCUGCAUGGCUGUCGUCAGCUCGUGCCGUGAGGUGUCGGGUUAAGUCCCAUAACGAGCGCAACCCUUAUCAUUAGUU